This 482-nucleotide ribosomal RNA is filed under the name uncultured bacterium. RNAcentral's name for it is "partial 16S ribosomal RNA". It matches the Rfam family "Bacterial small subunit ribosomal RNA", at positions 28 to 507 of the family's 1533-position model. The record is from RNAcentral.
GACGAACGCUGGCGGCGUGCUUAACACAUGCAAGUCGAACGCUGAAGCUCAGCUUGCUGGGUGGAUGAGUGGCGAACGGGUGAGUAACACGUGAGUAACCUGCCCUCUUCUUUGGGAUAACGCCCGGAAACGGGUGCUAAUACUGGAUAUUCACUGAUUCUCGCAUGGGGGUUGGUGGAAAGGUUUUUUCUGGUGGGGGAUGGGCUCGCGGCCUAUCAGCUUGUUGGUGGGGUGAUGGCCUACCAAGGCUUUGACGGGUAGCCGGCCUGAGAGGGUGACCGGUCGCAUUGGGACUGAGAUACGGGCCAGACUACGACGGGAGGCAGCAGUGGGGAAUAUUGCACAAUGGGCGAAAGCCUGAUGCAGCGACGCCGCGUGAGGGAGGGAGGCCUGCGGGUUGUAAACCUCUUUCGCUCAUGGUCAAGCCGCAGCUUUGGGUUGUGGUGAGGGUAGUGGGUAAAGAAGCGCCGGCUAACUACGUG